AUUGAACGCUGGCGGCAGGCCUAACACAUGCAAGUCGAACGGUAACAGGAAGAAGCUUGCUUCUUUGCUGACGAGUGGCGGACGGGUGAGUAAUGUCUGGGAAACUGCCUGAUGGAGGGGGAUAACUACUGGAAACGGUAGCUAAUACCGCAUAACGUCGCAAGACCAAAGAGGGGGACCUUCGGGCCUCUGGCCAUCGGACGUGCCCAGAUGGGAUUAGCUUGUUGGUGGGGUAACGGCUCACCAAGGCGACGAUCCCUAGCUGGUCUGAGAGGAUGACCAGCCACACUGGAACUGAGACACGGUCCAGACUCCUACGGGAGGCAGCAGUGGGGAAUAUUGCACAAUGGGCGCAAGCCUGAUGCAGCCAUGCCGCGUGUAUGAAGAAGGCCUUCGGGUUGUAAAGUACUUUCAGCGGGGAGGAAGGGAGUAAAGUUAAUACCUUUGCUCAUUGACGUUACCCGCAGAAGAAGCACCGGCUAACUCCGUG
This 490-nucleotide ribosomal RNA is filed under the name uncultured bacterium. RNAcentral describes it as "partial 16S ribosomal RNA". It matches the Rfam family "Bacterial small subunit ribosomal RNA", at positions 30 to 507 of the family's 1533-position model. The record is from RNAcentral.